Molecule: long non-coding RNA, 4870 nt
Filed under: Daucus carota (carrot)
Lineage: Eukaryota; Viridiplantae; Streptophyta; Magnoliopsida; Apiales; Apiaceae
Description: long non-coding RNA (DCAR_LNC004328)
Source: RNAcentral
UUUCCACUCAAGGGCUUUUUCUGCUUUCGGGAUAAAACUUGUUCCGAACCGAACAUUUUUUGUCGGAGAAUUUUCUUGCGAAAACUUGAUUUUCUCCUCAGCAGGCAACUGAAAGAAUCUCCGGGCGGCUUCCCUCACAUCCUCAAGAACUUCAAUGGGGACUCCAUGAUUAACAAUCUGAAAGAAUCCCCACUUCUCCGCAGCAUUCGCAAUCUGAUCAGCUACAUUCGGAUCAUCCAAAUUCGACAUGUCGAUCACGGGUAUAGAUUCUUUAUCCAAAACUUUCGUCAUGUCUAUUCGCUCCUCGAGAGGUUGAAUAUAUUGCUUUGGUAACGCUGGCCGAGCUCGGAGAUGCCCUUAACACCAUGCCCCUUUUUCACUGCAAAAUGUGUGUAGUCAUCUGAGAAGGAUGCAGCCAUUCUGUAGUAGUGCUGGAUAUCAAAUAACAAGUGCUUUGAUUGUUUGUAUGUAAGUGAAUUUAUUUGUAUGUAGAUAGGAUGAACGAUGAAUUGUAAUGCAUGGAAGGAGAGGCUAUUUAUACACUUUAUUUGAGUUCCAUGCAUAUGCAAAUCGAAUGGCAAAUGAGUGCAACAACCACACAAUUAAUUUCCACGGCCGUCAAGUGCAACGCUCUCAAACACAUACAAAUAGGAACGAACACUCACUGUUUAAGUUUAUUGUCUUACCCAGAACUAUUUCUAUUCUAAUUAAUCGCCUUAUCUGAAUUGAUAACCUAUCGGUAUUGUUUGCGUUAUGUCAAAUAAGAAUUGAUUGCCUCGCAUACUUGAAAUUAAAAUUUGUUGUACAGAUGACAAAUUGUAUACAAACUUGGCUUCUGCAAGAAGUUGAUUGAUUUUUGUCUGUUGCCGUACCGUUUCUGCCAUCGACUCGGAUUGGAUUAAUUAUCUCAACAUUACCGAUUAAGUAAAACAUACUCCAUCCAUUUUGCCGAUUGUUUACGUAACUCGUAAAGUAUAGUUUGAUGAUGUAUUUUUAAUUUUUUCUUUUUCUGAAUAAAAGUUUAAAUGUCAAAUUAUUUUUCAGAAAUUUUUUUAAAAAAUAUAUAUAAUGUAAGUAUACUUUAUAGGAGGCUUAAAAUGCGUGUCAAAAAGUAACGUAAAGAACCUGAUGGGACGGAGGGAAUAUAUAGUAAGAGUUUUAGGAUGGGAUGGACCCGGCCUAGACGGGUAUAAGUGGGGCCUAGUAAGGUCAUGGGGUGGAUUCAGUGGGGCGAGUGUGGGUCCUAGUUGGGUGAUGAUGUACCUUUAAAAUUGGGUGAUGUCAUUUAAAUACAAUUUCUCUUGGUCUGUAUAUGAAUAAUUGUUUACAUAGGCUCUUAAAAUAAAAAUAGAAACCAAUACAACUUAGUGAUAUUCUCAGUACAAUUUAGUGAUAUUCUCUUCAGGAUUUAGUGAUCUGUGUUGCAGGAAUUAGUGAAAACUUGCUGAAACUGCUUAGAAUCUUCAGAUAUGUUCACAUUUUCAAUUCAGAUGAUGGUGAUGAUGGUAGAGGUGAAGGUGGAGAUGGAGGAAUGACGAUUGUAGCGGAGGUCUGGGCGGCUUGAAGUAGGGGAUUGGAGCGUCAUCGGAAUAGUGUCAGCUCCGCCAUAUUUUGAAGUUGAGCCGAGGUGGAGAAAGAAGUAGGAACGGGAUUGAAGGAGGUUGAAGCAGCGACCAAGAUGAGGUUGGUGAAGAUGGAGGUGAAGAUUGUGUUGUUAGAAAAAUAAUGGAGGUGGAGAUGGAGGUGAUGGUUAUGGAGGGGGUGAGCAGCAUAGAGAUGGCGGUGGUUAUGGAGGAGGCGACGACGAAGAUGUUGGCUGGGGCGGAUUUGGAGGUGGGGUUGGUGAAAAUGAAGGUGGAGAUGAGGUUGUUUAAGAAUUUAGUGGUAUUUGUUUUUAGAUUUAGUGAUAUUCCAGUUUAGUUUUUAGUUUGUAGAAUAAAGAGGAAUCUAUUGUAGUAAGGCUUUAUGUAUAUAUGGUUCCAUUAUGUAUUUUUUUUCUAGAUUCUAUUUAAAUCAUAUUAAUAAAUUUAAUGAAUUUAGAUGCUAGAUUUUAUAUAUUAAGUUUAAUUGGUGUAGAACUGUAUGAUUACGAUCAUUUUCUUUGAAAGAUAAAGUUUCAUAAUAGUAUUUUUUUUUGUUAUUCUUUUUUUUAAGGUGUUCUUUGUUGAGUGCAACCCAUUAUAUUAUAUAAUAAAAAGUAAAUUUUAAUUAUUACAGUCAUACAUAAUUCUAUUGUAAUAUAUUCUUUUCCAUAAUUUUUGAAUGACAUAAGAACAACGUUUAUAUAUUCGGUUAAAUGUGAGUUAACUUCAUUAUAGAAAAGUCUAAAAAUCAAUUUGACACGGCAGUGCCUUCUGAACCGUAACUUUCGGGUUCUCCUAUGGCGAGGAGGCAAAUUUCCCCACGCGAGAAUUCAGAUGUGAGGUUGUCCAUGCAUUUGGUGCUCGACGAAAAAGUUGGUCUAUCAGUCCGAUUUUUUUUUUGAAAUAAGGUCUAUCAGUCCGAUUAAUUAAAUUUAAAAUUAUGAUUUAUAAUAUAGUAACAUGAUUUUAUAAGAUAAAUUAAAAUUUUAACAUACCUAUUUAAAUAAUUUUGAUUUAUUAAACUUAUGAGUUUUUAAAAAUUUAAUGAUAAAAAUAAGUGAUAGAGGUAAAUUAUGACUUACAAAUAAUUUUUAUCCAAAAUAUUUGAAAAAUCAAGUUAUUAAAAAAAAUAUCUCAAACUAUUUGGUUUUAAAUCAAUUUUUGACUUGCUAUUUUACUUUAAAUAAGUUUAUACAUUAUUACACAAACAAAUACUUUUCAGUUUAGAACUGUAUUACCCCCGGCUUAUAGGAAAACAAAUAACUCCAGCAUUUUUCAUAAAAAUAAAAUUAGCAUUUUUCUUAUGUCUCUAACUUUUCUCGUAAAAGUGAUAGAAAAGUGAUAGUUUGUUAUAACUUCAUACGCACAAAAUUAAAUAUAAAAUCAUUCACAAAAAUGAUAUGUAUUAAAUUUCAAUUCUAACAAUUUGAUGUAUUCAUAUAAAUAGCACAAAUUAAAGCAUGCAAUCUUCAUUAUCAUGUCAUUCCUUCAAAAUUUUGUAUAAAAUUUUAAGCAGCAUUACUAUUACUAUUAUAAGAGAUCAUACUACUACAUCCGCUGCGAAUUUGCUUCGAUCUAUUUAAAUCAUAAUUGAAUUAAAAUUGUUAUUAUAAUAUAUUAAUCAUAUCACUUGUACAAGUAGAGAACACUUCAUUAUUCGACACUGACAUCCAAAAUUAACAAAAUACCAAUACGUAACACUUCGAACAAAAGCUUAUGAUUGAUUGGUUUGUGUAUAAACAUUCCCAGCGUGUUUCAGGAAACAAUCAUAUCUUAGCAAAAUUCUUCUGCAAUGCUCAAUAACGUGACCUCAAUUGAAUAAGGAAAUGAUGAAAUUAGCUAUAUUAAGACGAAACUUAUAAAAAUAAAAUAACUCACCCAACGAUUAAGAUGACGAGAAGAAUAAACAAUGGUAAUUAUUAGCAGAUGCAAAUCAACUCAAAAUUGUAGUUUCGAUCUAGUGGUAUGAGUUACCUUUCUAGUAUGAAAGAGAUGAAAUUUGCAGGUGUAAAUUUUCGCCUUACAUGAUUUCAUUCCCUCGUUUUAUCUUAUCAUUGUCAAACAAUUGGUAAUAAAACAAGCAAGUCAAAAGAAUACAGAAAAUGAUCAAAAAAUAUAUAUUAAUAUCAAUAAAUAAUUCCAUUGCAAUGAUGUCCAAGUGACUUAUAUGAAUUGACAAAUGAAACAGAUAUUUUUCCAAUAUCAGCACGAUCAUAUCUUAGCAAAGUCAAUGGUCUCCUUUCCGUCAUGCCCUUUCCUGAAGAAAUGUUUCACAUAAUCCGAAUACAAAACCUGCUUGUACAUCGCUUUCUCUCCGUUCCUUAGCACCUCAGGUAGCGGCCCAAUGAUAUCUUCUGGUCUGGGAUUCACAAAAAUAGGCACCGAAACUCUGUUGUUGCUCCCAUUAGCAGCGACACGAUGCUCAACACUCUUGUAUUUUCCAUUACUCAUGAUUUGAAGAGCAUCACCAACGUUGAUUACUAUCGAUCCGCUUAUCGGAGGCACGUGGAUCCAGGCGUCGGUCUCCAUUUUGCGGACGUAGAGUCCUCCGAUAUUGUCUUGAAGGAGAAAUGUGAGUGUGGAGACAUCGGAGUGACGCCCAACUCCCACUGUGAGCUCGGGGUUUGGGCAGAUGGGAUAGUAGUUGAGGUUGAUUCUCUUGGAACCCAUUAGGAGUGGUGCUUUUGAGUCCAUGUUCUCCGCAUUUAGCUUCUGCAUCAGGGCUUGUAGCAGCCACUUGAUCACAAACUCGGACUUCUUCAUGAAUUCUAUCGCUUCGUUCCUGAAAUAAUUGAAUUAUACAGUAAGAAUAAUGUGUGCAUAUCAGCAUGCAGAUUUGCAUGUAUAUUUGUAAAUCAUAGACCUAGCCCCUCUGUUCCAGCAAGUUGUUUACGUUCACUGUAGUAACGUAAAAAACUUGCAGUGACAGAGGAGUGCUAUAUUUUCACUAACGACCAACCAAAUUUUAAAUGUAAUUACAUACUUGCAUGCGGCUGGCCAAAAUGUGGAAGACUCUUCGUCAGAAACAUAGAAGAGACUGAGGUAGUCUUUCCACUCAAGGGCUUUUUCUGCUUUCGGAAUAAAACUUGUUCCAAACCGAACAUGUUUUGUGGGAGAAUUUUCUUGCGAAAACUUGAUCUUCUCGUCAGCAGGCAACUGAAAGAAGCUCCGGGUGGCUUCCUUCACAUCCUCAAGAACCUCAAUGGGGACUCCAUGAUUAACAAUCUGAAAGAAUCCCCACUUCUCCGCAGCAUUCGCAAUCUGAUCAGCCACAUUCGGAUCAUCCA